GGGGUUGUGGCUCAGAGGUAGAGCACUCGCCUAGCAUGUGUGAGGCACUGGGUUCCAUCCUCAGCACCACA
Molecule: transfer RNA, 71 nt
Filed under: Marmota monax (woodchuck)
Lineage: Eukaryota; Metazoa; Chordata; Mammalia; Rodentia; Sciuridae
Description: tRNA.Ala
Rfam family: tRNA
About the family: Transfer RNA (tRNA) molecules are approximately 80 nucleotides in length.
Source: RNAcentral